GCCUUCGGCAUAUGGCGGGGUCUUUGUCUCUCGCUACCUGCAGAGCUCUGGAUCUGUCUCUGCUGUUCCGCGUCCUACACCUUGAGAUCCACCGUCCCCCCUCCCCCGCCCCGUGACUCUUUCACAGCCUCUGUUGCUCUGUGACCUGCAGGUCCUGGGAGACGCACACCUAAGAUGCCAGGACAUCCUGGAAACUUGGAAAGGGUCUUGCUGUCUCUAAACUGGACCUGGUGACCUUUUUGGAGGGAAGGAAAGAGCGCUGGACUGUGAAGAGUGAGGAGACCGUAGCUGCACAGCCAGGAGAUUUAACUCCCCUUUUCUGCCUGCAUGCUGAUCACUGGAAAGAUUGUGAUGAAUCACUGGUCUCACCAAUGAGAUGAUGUGUUUUUCCUGCCUGGUCCUUGCCCACAGAUCAUUGUAACAUAUCACGGUGCCUAGCAUCCACGUGGUGUGGCUCUGCUGACUGUACUCUGCUUUCAGGAGGAGAUUUUAACAUAUUCCUAAUCAAGCACCCAGGUGGUGUGACACUUCUGCCCUGUCCUUGCCCUCAGAGAAGAUUGUGACAUGUCAUUUCCCCAAAACACAGGUGAUGUGAGUCUACUGGUCAGUCUCUAUUCACUGGUGGGAUUGUGAUGCAUAUCUUGUCCAAACUUACAGGUGCAAUAAUGACUCAUAUCUUAAAACAACCAAUAGCAGAUACACUGUCUCUCAUAGCCAGGGUCAGGAAAAUGAGUAAUGUCUUGGGUCUCCUCUUUGUAUGAAGGUCAUGAAGAGUUAACACUCUCACAUACUGUGUAGAGUUGUCAAGAGGUACAGAGAAUGUCCUAAAAGAACUCAGCACACAGGAGAGGUUGUGACACUCAUGAAUAGCCUUCCAACAGUAAAGACUGUCAUCCUUCCCCAUAAACACAGCUCACUGUUGAGGUUCUGAAUCUCAUAUCCAGAGGCAGUAGAAAGUUGGAAAAUUGAAUCUCAUAAUUUGGUCCAUUGAGAGAUUAGUGUCUCUGACACCAAGAUUGAGCACACCCAUGAGUUGGUAACUUCAUUAAAAUGACACAAUUUCCAGGACGGAUUGAGGGUCUCAUAUACAAAUUGAGACCAUCAUUGAGAUUGUUACUCAUGUACUUACCCAACAUACAGAGGGUAUUAUGGCUCAUAUCUAGAACUAAGAAAUGUGUGAAAUUAUUCAUCUCAUACCUUGAUCUUCAUGCAUGUGUGAUUGUGACAUACACCUGCAUAGCACCUGAGUGAUUUGACUCUUCUGCCUGGUUCCUUUUGUAUAUUAUGUAUUGUGACAUGUGUCUGGUUCUAACACCUUGGUGAUGUGACUCUCCUGCAUUGGACCUUCCCACAGAGGUGUUAUAACAUAUCUUUUUAUUCAUCACCCAGGUGAUAUAAUUCUGUUUUUCUUUCUGGGCCCGGCCAAAAGGGAAGUUUGUGGCAUAUCACCGGACCCAGCACCUAGGUGAUGUGAUUCUCCUAUUUUUCCUGGGCCUCACAUAUUUUGGGUAUUGUAAAAUAUUACUAGGUCCACCACCCACAGGAUUGCAUGUUCCUGCCUGGGCUUUGCCCACAGGGACCUUGUGACAUAUAUCCAUGACCUAAAAGAUGUGAUGCUUCUUGCCUGCACCAUGCCCUGCACAGGAAAGAUUGUGACAUAUCCCUGAAACCAAACAUCAGGUGAUGUGGCUCUUCUGUCUGUCUCUCUUCUUAGGGAGCAUUGUGACAUAGUGCUGAGCUCAGCACCCAGGUAAUGUGACUCUUGCCUGUGCUGUGUUUUCAGGAGAGAAUUCUAACAUAUUCCUGACUGAGCACCCAGGUGAUUGACAUUCCUGCUUCGUUCCUCAUUCCCUUAUGGAAGAUUGUGAGAUAUCCUUGGCUGAAAUCCCAGGUGAUAUGAGUCUCCCGCUAACUGCCUACCUACAUAUUAAAUGAUGGCAUACACUAUAGUCAGCUUUUUUUUCAGGACAACUUGCUGUGCUACAGUCAGCUUAUGUGAUGAUGACUAUCUUACCUCUAGUCAGCUAUUAGAAGUAAUACUGUCUCUCAUAUAAAUGAGUCACAUCUUUGGUCUUCUCUGUUUAUGAAGGUCAUGAAGAAUUAGCACACUCCCACAUGUUACAUAAUGCCCUCGAUUGUUAUAAAGAGUGUUAUCCAGCUGGGCAUGGUGGCUCACACCUAUAACCCCAGCACUUUGGGAGGCUGAGGUAGGUGGAUCACCUGAGAUAAGGUGUUCGAGACCAGCCUGGCCAACAUGGUGAAACCCGGUCUCUGGUAAAAAUUUUUAAAAAUUAAAAAAAUUUAGUCAGGUGUGGUGGCUUACACCUGUAGUCUCAGCUACUCUGGAGGCUGAGGCAGAAGAAUCGCUUGAACUUAGGAGGCGGGUUGCAAUGAGUGGAGAUUGCACCAGUACACUCCAUCCAGCCUGGGUGGCAGAGCAAGACUCCGUCUCAAAAAAAAAAAAAGUGUUAUCCCAGGGCACAGCACAAAGGUGACAUUGUUUCUUAUAUGCACACCUCACCAAUCGUUAGGAUUAUCACCUUCACACAUGGAAAGAGCCCAUUGCUGAGGUCUUAAAUAUCACAUGCAAACACUGUCCACAGUUGGAAUUGUGACUGUCAUGUGAGCUUCCAGCCACAGUUGAGAUGGUGACACAUUUCUAAACUCAGAACAUAGCAGAUGAGGGGUCUACUAUCUAAACUCAGCCAACUGGAGAGAUUUUGCCUCUAAUCCCUGUGCUUAGGGCCGCAAGUAUGGUCAUGAGCGCUUACAAACAUGAUUUUAGAGUAACUUGUGAUUCUCAUUUAUACUGGAUAAAGCCUUUGAGUGUAGUAGCCAGGCACGAUGGCUCAUACCUGUAAUCCCAGCAUUAGAAGGCCAAGGCGGGUGAAUCACCAGGUCAGGAAUUCGAGACCAGCCUGGCCAACAUAGUGAAGCCUUGUCUCUACUAAAAAUACAAAAAAUUAGCUGGGCUUGGUGGUGGGCACCUAAUGCCAGCUACUUGGGAGGCUGGGGCAGGAGAAUCACUUGAACCAAGAGGCAGAGGUUGCGUUGAGUUGAGAUCAUGCCACUGCACUCCAUCCCAGGUGACAGUGUGAGACUGUCUCAAAAAAAAAAAAAAAAAAGAAAAGUAUACUAACAAGACCAAGCACACGGGGGGAUUUUGUUUUUGCUUUUUUAAAUGGAGUCUUGCUGUGUCACCCAAGCUGGAGGAAUGGGAGUUUUCUCUCCUGGUUUGGUGCUGUCCACAAUGAGCAUUAUGAAAUAUUGCUGCCAUCUCUCCUAGGUUAUGUUACUCUCCUGCCUCUGUUUUGCCCACAUGAGUCAUUGUGACAUUAUGACAUAUUGCUAGGUAUAAAACCCAGGUAAUGUAACGCUCUUGUUUGUGAUAUCAUGACAUAGCUUUGUGCCAAUUACUCAGGUGAUGUGAAUCUUUUCACCUGCCUGGUUCUUGUUCACUGGGAGAUAAUGAUACCUAUUGCUGGUUUCAGCACUUGUUUGGGUUCUGCCUGCAGGAGCCAUUGUCACAUAUCGCUGCUCAUCACACAGGUGAUAUGACUCCCUUUUACUGCCUAGUCGCUUCUCACAAAAUGUGACAUAUUGCUAGGCCCAGUAUCUACCUAGUGUGACUCUUCUUUCUAGGUUCCAUCUGCAGCAAAGAUUGUAACAUACUGCUGGGCCCAACAGCAUACUCUUUUGCCUUGGGCCUGCCCUCAGAAGGCACUGUAACAUACUCAUGGGUCCAAUGCCAAGGUAAUGUAUGUCUCCAGCCUGGUCUCUACCCACAGGGGGCAUUGUGACAUAUCUCUUGGCCCAUCAGAUGUUUGAUAUUAUCCCCUCCCCUCUCCUACCAUGUGUUUGCCUAUAAGAAACAUUGUCACAAGUUUCUGGGCCCAGCACCUAGGUGAUGUCUUCCUGAGACCUGUCCAUAUGGGAAUUGUGAUAUAUCGUGUGGCUCAGUACUGACUUGAUAUAACUCUCCUCUCAUGCCUACGCCCUGCUCACGGGUGGGAUUGUGACACAUAGGUUGGCCUAGCCCCUUGGGUAUGUUACACUCCUCUUAUUCUCCAGUCAUUUUCACAGGGGGCAUUGUGACAUAUGGCUGGACUGAGAACUUAGGUGAUUCGAAUCUCUACUGCUUGAAAUAUAUCCCAAAAGAGAGUUUGAUAUAUGCUUGUCCAGUUUCCUAGGUGAUGUUACUCUUUUCUCCUGCCUGAACCCUGCAUACAUUAUGCAUUUUGACACAUCACUGGGGCUAACACCUAGGUGAUGUAACUCUCCUGCAUAAGGUUUGCAUACAGGGGUAUGACGAUUAUCUUUUCAUUCAUCACAUAGGUGGUGUGACUCUCCACUUAUGCCUGCGCCUUGAUGAAAGAGAAAUUGUGACAUAUCCCUGGACCUAGCACUUAGGGGAUGUAACUCACCUUUAUUGCCAGGGCAUGGAAUGAUGAGUAUUGUGACAUAUCUCUGGGCCCGACACCUAGGGGAUGAGAGGCUCCUGUCUGGGCCCUGCCCACAGGAAGCUUUGUGGCAUGUCUCUGGUCUCAUUACCUAGAAAAAUAUUACUCUCCUCUUCUACCUGCAUUCUUCUCACAGAAAAGAUUGAGACAUCACUGGAUGCAGCAAUUACAAGAUGUUUCUCUCCUGCCUGAGCCUUGCCCACAGGAACAUUGUGACAUAUCCCUGGGCUCAGCACUCAGGUGAUGGGACUCUGCCACCUGUUCCCUGUCUACUUAGGCUUUUGUGAAGUAUAGCUGGUUUCAAUACCCAGGUGAUGUACCUCCUGCCAGGCCACUGCCUUCCAGGGAUAUUGUGACAUAUCUUUGUGCUAAUCACCCAGGAGAUGUGAAUCUUUUCACCUGCCUGGUCCUUGUUCACUGGGAGAUGAUACCUAUUUCUGGUUUCAGCAUUGAGUUGAUGUAACUGCUUUCUAGGUUCUGCCCGCAAAAAAACUGACGUAUCGGGGGUCCAAAGUGGCUCCCACCGGAGGUCAUGGUGCUCGCGAAGGCGAGGUCAUCAGUUCAAGGCUAACCUGAGCAACCUCAUAAGCUCAAACUGAUUGGCAAAAAAAAAAAAAACAAAAAAAAAACUGACGUAUCACUAGGCCCAUAAGCAAAGUUAUUUUGCCUGGUCCUGCAAAUUUUUAAAAGACAUUAUGACAUACUACAGUGCCCAGCACCAAUGUAAUUUGUCUCCUGUCUAAACCCUGCCUACUGGAGACAUGGUGUCAUAUCUCUUGUCCCAUUAACUAUUUGAUGUAACUCUCCUUUUAUUUUUCCUUUGAGAGUAUCAUAAGAGAACACAGCCCACUGGUGAGAUAGUGUCUCUUGAAUACACAUGCAGGCAACAGUGAAGAUUGUCAUUCUCCCACAUAAACACAUCCCACUGUUGAAGUUCUGAAUUUCACAGAGGCUGUCAAAAGUUGGAUAAUUGCUUCUCAUGUUUUGAUCUGGUCUACAGGUGGGCUGGUGACUUCCAGACCAAGAUUGAGCACAUACAAGGCUGUGACUGCACUAAGCAGACACAGUCUGCAGAAGCAAGUGUGGCUCUUUUGCACACAUUCUGUCAA
Long non-coding RNA from Callithrix jacchus (white-tufted-ear marmoset), 5569 nucleotides. RefSeq lists it as uncharacterized. The record is from RefSeq and is a predicted model, not a curated record. Lineage: Eukaryota; Metazoa; Chordata; Mammalia; Primates; Cebidae.